RNAcentral lists this ribosomal RNA (250 nucleotides) under uncultured bacterium. Its description in RNAcentral is "partial 16S ribosomal RNA". It matches the Rfam family "Bacterial small subunit ribosomal RNA", at positions 524 to 773 of the family's 1533-position model. The record is from RNAcentral.
UACAGAGGCGGCAAGCGUUGUUCGGAAUUAUUGGGCGUAAAGAGCACGUAGGCGGCUGUGUAAGUCGGUUGUGAAAGCCUUCCGCUUAACGGAAGAACGGCAUCCGAUACUGCAUAGCUCGAGUGCGGGAGGGGAGAGUGGAACUUCUGGUGGAGCGGUGAAAUGCGUAGAUAUCAGAAGGAACACCGGCGGCGAAGGCGGCUCUCUGGUCCACAACUGACGCUGAGGCGCGAAAGCUAGGGGAGCAAAC